AAUCGCGGCCAAAGAUCGUAGAGGGACAAGAUAGACCACUCCUCGAAAAACGCGUAGUAUGACGUGUGUGACCGUCGACGCCAUAUUGUUAAGCAUUUAUUGGGCUGUAAUGGCGUCCUCAGCUAAAUCUACAUCUCACUGCUCCGCUAUCAACUGUUCUAAUCGUAAAUCUAAACGACCAGAGCUGUCAUUCUUUAGGUUCCCCAAUAAAAAAGAAAGAUGUCAACAGUGGGUCCAGAAUACUCAUCGACAAGAUCUCCUGCACCGAACUGCAGAGUAUUUGUCAAAUAACUGCCGUCUUAUGUACAUUGUGUGAAAUUGUGAUUUGUUAACUGCACAAAACUAAUGCAAAUGGCGAUACAUGCCUGCAUUUGGCCCAUACCCCUCUAAACCUGUCCUAACCAUCAAAUAACCUAACAGAACUGUCAUGAGGAAAGAUUUAAAAGACUAGGCUUGUAUUCACUGGAGUUUAGAAGGAUGAGGGGGGAUCUUAUCAUAUUGUUUACAGUGUACUAUGUUUACAGAUUCUGUUGUGCUGCUGAAAGUAAGAAUUUAAUUGUUCUAUCUGGGACAAGCUAGAUGCAGGAAAAUUGUUCUACAUGACAAUAAAACCCUCUUGUUAGAUGCAAGGGGAUCUUAUAGAAACAUCUAAAUGAAUAAAAGGACUGAACAAGCUAGAUACAGGAAAAAUGUUCCCAAUGUUGGGCGAGUCCAGAACCAGGGGCCACAGUCUUAGAACAAAGGGGAGGCCAUUUAAGACUGAGGUGAGAAAAAACUUUUUCACCCAGAGAGUUGUGAAUUUGUGGAAUUCCCUGCUACAGAGGGCAGUGGAGGCCAAAUCACUGGGUGGAUUUAAGAGAGAGUUAGAUAGACCUCUAGGGGCUAGUGGAAUCAAGGGGUAUGGGGAGAAGGCAGGCAUGGGUUAUUGAUUGGGGCUGAUCAGCCAUGAUCACAAUGAAUGGCGGUGUUGGGUCGAAGUGCCAAAUGGCCUCCUCCUGCACCUAUUUUCUAUAUUUCUAAAACACUCAUCCAGCAAUCCUCGAGCCCACCAGCUCAUCCCGUAGUCAAUUCAUCAGCUUUUCCAUAAGAACUUCCAUCAGUUCUUGCAAAAGAAUGACAAUCAGCCAAUCUCGAUUACCCUCAGCCCAUCAAGCAGUCCCUUAAUUCGCACAGAAGUCUGAACUAUUGAAUGCUCACUGCAUCUCUUUCCAUGUCAGCAAGUUAAUAUCCAGCUGCAUAUGAACCAUGUGAAAAAUGAAUAAAUAGAUGCAUGUGGUGCAGUGAUUUGUGCAGCACUAUAGGCCUGGAGACCAAGAGGAGUUCACCAUUGAACGGAGUUUGAACGGGGGGCUUGAGGCCCCCGACCGAGGAAGAACAAAAGGAAGGGACUUGAACUUUAUUUCGCCUUCCAUCACAGUGAGGAAUGUGUAGGAGUCACUUUGGUGAAUGUCCGUAUUAAAAUGUGUUUUUGAGUGCUGUUGCUUUUAAUUGUAUGACUGACCUGGCCAAUGAAAUUCCUCGUAUAUUGCAAAACAUACUUGGAAAAUAAAAUCUGAUUAUGAUUCUGAAAA
This is a long non-coding RNA of Leucoraja erinaceus (little skate), 1571 nucleotides long. RefSeq lists it as uncharacterized. Lineage: Eukaryota; Metazoa; Chordata; Chondrichthyes; Rajiformes; Rajidae. The record is from RefSeq and is a predicted model, not a curated record. The transcript has 2 exons.